Molecule: ribosomal RNA, 406 nt
Filed under: uncultured Sphingobacteriales bacterium
Lineage: Bacteria; Pseudomonadati; Bacteroidota; Sphingobacteriia; Sphingobacteriales
Description: bacterial SSU rRNA
Rfam family: Bacterial small subunit ribosomal RNA
Source: RNAcentral
UGGGCUCAAAUGUAUGUUUGACGUAUUACUGAAAGGGAUACUUCUUUCGGACAAUAUACAAGGUGCUGCAUGGUUGUCGUCAGCUCGUGCCGUGAGGUGUCGGGUUAAGUCCCAUAACGAGCGCAACCCUAUCAUUAGUUGCCAUCAGGUCAAGCUGGGGACUCUAAUGAAACUGCCUACGCGAGUAGUGAGGAAGGUGGGGAUGACGUCAAAUCAGCACGGCCCUUACGUCCAGGGCUACACACGUGCUACAAUGGCCGGUACAAAGGGCAGCUACCUGGUGACAGGAUGCUAAUCUCAAAAGCCGGUCUCAGUUCGGAUCGGAGUCUGCAACCCGACUCCGUGAAGCUGGAAUCGCUAGUAAUCGCGCAUCAGCCAUGGCGCGGUGAAUACGUUCCCGGGCCUU